Molecule: ribosomal RNA, 253 nt
Filed under: uncultured Ralstonia sp.
Lineage: Bacteria; Pseudomonadati; Pseudomonadota; Betaproteobacteria; Burkholderiales; Burkholderiaceae
Description: partial 16S ribosomal RNA
Rfam family: Bacterial small subunit ribosomal RNA
Source: RNAcentral
UACGUAGGGUCCAAGCGUUAAUCGGAAUUACUGGGCGUAAAGCGUGCGCAGGCGGUUGUGCAAGACCGAUGUGAAAUCCCCGGGCUUAACCUGGGAAUUGCAUUGGUGACUGCACGGCUAGAGUGUGUCAGAGGGAGGUAGAAUUCCACGUGUAGCAGUGAAAUGCGUAGAGAUGUGGAGGAAUACCGAUGGCGAAGGCAGCCUCCUGGGAUAACACUGACGCUCAUGCACGAAAGCGUGGGGAGCAAACAGG